This is a non-coding RNA of Ciona intestinalis (vase tunicate), 536 nucleotides long. The record is from RefSeq and is a predicted model, not a curated record. Lineage: Eukaryota; Metazoa; Chordata; Ascidiacea; Phlebobranchia; Cionidae.
UCACGGAUUUUACCCAAAAAGUAAUCACCUUCAAAGUAACAUACAUGGUAACCCGUAAGCUGGUAGGUGUAUGAACACCCAUGUUAUAACGACUGUCGUUUUGCGGCCAUGCGAAGAUAUACGUCACAUUCAACAACUAAUGUAGAGCAAAUGAGUUUAACCUGUGUUAUGCAAGCUUGCAUACAAGUUAUACGGUUCGGUACCUCGUGUUAGGUUACGGCUGGUGCCUUCAAAACUUGUAACUUCCUUUCACUAUCUUCGACGUUGCAACAUGGCUAGUUACUGUUUUUCUGCGAAUCAGCUGCAACAGGCAAUUGGUAAAAACGAAAGUCAAUCAGUGAAAUAAAGCAAGAGGUUGUACCAGCCAGGCUAAAUGGCCGAACCGGAGAACUCGAGGUUCGGGGCGAUCGCUUUGUUCAUGAACGCAGGGAUGCUGGUCAUGAUCACUGGAUACCAAAUAACUAUUUUAAACCCGUUGGCGCCGGUUAUGGUCAGUUUGUUCAAUCAAACACAUGUGAGCCGCUACGGUGUCCCAA